CCUGGAGGGCAAGUCUGGUGCCAGCAGCCGCGGUAAUUCCAGCUCCAAUAGCGUAUAUUAAAGUUGUUGCAGUUAAAAAGCUCGUAGUUGAAUUUCGGGGUCAGCAGGUUGGUCAUGCCUCUGGUAUGCACUGGUUUCGCUGAUUCCUCCUUUCUGAAGAACUGUAAUGUCAUUAAUUUGGUGUUGCAGGGAAACAGGACUGUUACUUUGAAAAAAUUAGAGUGUUUAAAGCAAGCUAACGCUUGAAUACAUUAGCAUGGAAUAAUGAAAUAGGACGUUUGAUCCUAUUUUGUUGGUUUCUAGGAUUGACGUAAUGAUUAAUAGGGAUAGUUGGGGGCAUUAGUAUUCAAUUGUCAGAGGUGAAAUUCUUGGAUUUAUUGAAGACUAACUACUGCGAAAGCAUUUGCCAAGGAUGUUUUCAUUAAUCAAGAACGAAAGUUAGGGGAUCGAAGACGAUCAGAUACCGUCGUAGUCUUAACCAUAAACUAUGCCGACUAGGGAUCGGAUGAUGUUAAUUUUUUAAUGACUCAUUCGGCGCCUUACGGGAAA
Molecule: ribosomal RNA, 549 nt
Filed under: uncultured Glomus
Lineage: Eukaryota; Fungi; Glomeromycota; Glomeromycetes; Glomerales; Glomeraceae
Description: SSU rRNA
Rfam family: Eukaryotic small subunit ribosomal RNA
Source: RNAcentral